GAUGAACGCUGGCGGCGUGCCUAAUACAUGCAAGUCGAGCGAACGGACGAGAAGCUUGCUUCUCUGAUGUUAGCGGCGGACGGGUGAGUAACACGUGGAUAACCUACCUAUAAGACUGGGAUAACUUCGGGAAACCGGAGCUAAUACCGGAUAAUAUUUUGAACCGCAUGGUUCAAAAGUGAAAGACGGUCUUGCUGUCACUUAUAGAUGGAUCCGCGCUGCAUUAGCUAGUUGGUAAGGUAACGGCUUACCAAGGCAACGAUGCAUAGCCGACCUGAGAGGGUGAUCGGCCACACUGGAACUGAGACACGGUCCAGACUCCUACGGGAGGCAGCCGUAGGGAAUCUUCCGCAAUGGGCGAAAGCCUGACGGAGCAACGCCGCGUGAGUGAUGAAGGUCUUCGGAUCGUAAAACUCUGUUAUUAGGGAAGAACAUAUGUGUAAGUAACUGUGCACAUCUUGACGGUACCUAAUCAGAAAGCCACGGCUAACUACGUG
Molecule: ribosomal RNA, 497 nt
Filed under: uncultured bacterium
Lineage: Bacteria
Description: partial 16S ribosomal RNA
Rfam family: Bacterial small subunit ribosomal RNA
Source: RNAcentral